UGCAGUCGAGCGGUAGAGAGAAGCUUGCUCCUCUUGAGAGCGGCGGACGGGUGAGUAAUGCCUAGGAAUCUGCCUGGUAGUGGGGGAUAACGUUCGGAAACGGACGCUAAUACCGCAUACGUCCUACGGGAGAAAGCAGGGGACCUUCGGGCCUUGCGCUAUCAGAUGAGCCUAGGUCGGAUUAGCUAGUUGGUGAGGUAAUGGCUCACCAAGGCGACGAUCCGUAACUGGUCUGAGAGGAUGAUCAGUCACACUGGAACUGAGACACGGUCCAGACUCCUACGGGAGGCAGCAGUGGGGAAUAUUGGACAAUGGGCGAAAGCCUGAUCCAGCCAUGCCGCGUGUGUGAAGAAGGUCUUCGGAUUGUAAAGCACUUUAAGUUGGGAGGAAGGGCAGUAAAUUAAUACUUUGCUGUUUUGACGUUACCGACAGAAUAAGCACCGGCUAACUCUGUGCCAGCAGCCGCGGUAAU
RNAcentral lists this ribosomal RNA (472 nucleotides) under uncultured bacterium. Its description in RNAcentral is "bacterial SSU rRNA". It matches the Rfam family "Bacterial small subunit ribosomal RNA", at positions 56 to 524 of the family's 1533-position model. The record is from RNAcentral.